RNAcentral lists this ribosomal RNA (253 nucleotides) under uncultured bacterium. RNAcentral describes it as "partial 16S ribosomal RNA". It matches the Rfam family "Bacterial small subunit ribosomal RNA", at positions 524 to 776 of the family's 1533-position model. The record is from RNAcentral.
UACAGAGGGUGCGAGCGUUAAUCGGAAUUACUGGGCGUAAAGCGUGCGUAGACGGCUAUCUAAGUCAGGUGUGAAAGCCCCGGGCUCAACCUGGGAAUUGCAUUCGAGACUGAAUAGCUAGGGUACGGUAGAGGGAAGUGGAAUUUCCGGUGUAGCGGUGAAAUGCGUAGAUAUCGGAAGGAACAUCAGUGGCGAAAGCGACUUCCUGGACCAGUACCGACGUUCAGGCACGAAAGCGUGGGGAGCAAACAGG